This 478-nucleotide ribosomal RNA is filed under the name uncultured bacterium. RNAcentral describes it as "partial 16S ribosomal RNA". It matches the Rfam family "Bacterial small subunit ribosomal RNA", at positions 28 to 507 of the family's 1533-position model. The record is from RNAcentral.
GAUGGACGCUGGCGGCGUGCUUAACACAUGCAAGUCGAACGGGAUUUAUUUUAUUGAAACUUCGGUCGAUUUAAUUUAAUUCUAGUGGCGGACGGGUGAGUAACGCGUGGGUAACCUGCCUUAUACAGGGGGAUAACAGUCAGAAAUGGCUGCUAAUACCGCAUAAGCGCACAGAGCUGCAUGGCUCAGUGUGAAAAACUCCGGUGGUAUAAGAUGGACCCGCGUUGGAUUAGCUUGUUGGCAGGGUAACGGCCUACCAAGGCGACGAUCCAUAGCCGGCCUGAGAGGGUGAACGGCCACAUUGGGACUGAGACACGGCCCAGACUCCUACGGGAGGCAGCAGUGGGGAAUAUUGCACAAUGGGGGAAACCCUGAUGCAGCGACGCCGCGUGAAGGAAGAAGUAUCUCGGUAUGUAAACUUCUAUCAGCAGGGAAGAUAGUGACGGUACCUGACUAAGAAGCCCCGGCUAACUACGUG